UUGAACGCUGGCGGCAUGCCUUACACAUGCAAGUCGAACGGUAGAGGAGCAAUCCUCGAGAGUGGCGAACGGGUGAGUAAUGUAUCGGAACGUGCCCAGUAGUGGGGGAUAGCCCGGCGAAAGCCGGAUUAAUACCGCAUGAUACCUGAGGGUGAAAGCGGGGGACUCGCAAGAGCCUCGCGCUACUGGAGCGGCCGAUAUCAGAUUAGGUAGUUGGUGGGGUAAAAGCCUACCAAGCCUGCGAUCUGUAGCUGGUCUGAGAGGACGACCAGCCACACUGGGACUGAGACACGGCCCAGACUCCUACGGGAGGCAGCAGUGGGGAAUUUUGGACAAUGGGCGAAAGCCUGAUCCAGCCAUGCCGCGUGCGGGAAGAAGGCCUUCGGGUUGUAAAGCUCUUUCAGCCGGGAAGAAAUCACAUGGGUUAAUACCCUGUGUGGAUGACGGUACCGGAAUAAGAAGCACCGGCUAACUACGU
Molecule: ribosomal RNA, 478 nt
Filed under: uncultured bacterium
Lineage: Bacteria
Description: bacterial SSU rRNA
Rfam family: Bacterial small subunit ribosomal RNA
Source: RNAcentral